RNA transcript from Melospiza melodia melodia, 3343 nucleotides. It is a transcript of the gene named katanin regulatory subunit B1, with no coding region annotated. The transcript is spliced from 20 exons. The record is from RefSeq and is a predicted model, not a curated record. Lineage: Eukaryota; Metazoa; Chordata; Aves; Passeriformes; Passerellidae.
CGGGGGCGGCCAGGGGGUCCCGGUCCGCUACUGCCGGGCCCCGCCGCCGCCAGCGUCCAGGCGAUCGCCCGAGCCCCCACCGGCGCUCCCGUCCCGUGAUGUUCGUCAGCGGUGAGGCCUCGUCCCCCGCCGCGCCGCCUCUCAGGAGAGUCUCGCCGUGACCGUGUUUGAGUGCCCGCCGGACGGCCGCGGCAGCCCCGGUGCACGGCCCGGCCGUAGGACGCGCUAGCGGAGCGGAGCUCGCCGGGAGGAGGAAGGCGCUGCCCGCCCCAGAGGCGCCACGCUGAGCCAUGGCCGUGGCCGUCACCACGAAGACGGCAUGGAAGCUGCAAGAGAUCAUGGCCCACAGCAGCAAUGUGUCCUCAGUGGUCCUGGGAAAGGGCUCAGGCCGGAUGCUGGCCACUGGAGGAGACGACUGUCGGGUCAACAUAUGGUCAGUUAGCAAGCCCAACUGCAUCAUGAGCUUGACAGGUCACACAACCCCCAUUGAGAGCCUGCAAGUGAACCCAAAUGAGAAGCUCAUUGUGGCAGGGUCCCGCUCAGGGUCCAUUCGAGUCUGGGACCUGGAAGCUGCCAAAGUUCUUCGUACCCUACCAGGUCACAAAGCAAAUAUCUGCAGCCUUCAUUUCCAUCCUUUUGGAAGCUUUGUGGCAUCUGGCUCUUUGGACACCAACAUUAAGCUCUGGGAUGUAAGAAGAAAAGGCUGUAUCUUCACAUUCAAGGGUCACACAGAAGCAGUUCGGUGUCUCCGCUUCAGCCCUGAUGGGAAAUGGGUGGCCUCUGCUGCUGAUGAUCACACUGUAAAGCUGUGGGAUCUGACUGCUGGGAAGUUGAUGUUUGAGUUUACAGGACACACUGGCCCAGUAAACGUUGUUGAAUUCCAUCCCAAUGAGUACCUUCUGGCUUCUGGCAGCUCUGACAGGACUGUUCGGUUCUGGGACUUGGAGAAGUUUCAAGUUGUGAGCUGUAUUGAAGAGGAGGCCACUCCUGUCAGGUGUGUGCUCUUCAGCCCUGAUGGCUGCUGCUUGUACAGUGGCUUCCAGGACUCGCUGCGAGUGUACGGCUGGGAGCCAGAGCGCUGUUUUGAUGUGGUCUUGGUCAACUGGGGAAAAGUAGCUGACUUGUCUAUCAGCAACAACCAGCUGAUAGGAGUUUCCUUUGCACAAAGCACAGUCUCUUCCUUCGUUGUGGAUCUCAACAGAGUCCCAAAGUCAGAUUCUGUUCCUCAAGGGUUGAUCAGGGACGACCAGCCUCUUGUGCCACCUACCCCCACAGGGUCCUCCCUUCGCCGCAUCUAUGACAGACCCUCAACGAGCUGCAGCAAGCCACAGAGCAGAGUGAAGCACAACUCAGAGAGUGAGAGGCACAGUCCCAGCAGUGAAGAUGACCGGGAUGAGAAGGAAUCAAAGGCUGAGAUCCAGAACCAGGAGGAUUACAAAGAGAUCUUCCAGCCCAAGAAUGCAAUCUGUCGAACUCCUCCUCGAACUGAGCCCUUUCCUGCCCCUCCUGAGGAUGAGCCUGGAACUGCAAAGGAAGCAGUGAAGCCCAGCCAAGCUGUGGAUGUCCAGACCUCGCUGCCAAAGCAGGAGCUCCCCGAUCCAGUCCAGAGGCCACCGAAUCCCUCCUCAACUUCUUUGAGCAGAACAGAGCCAUCAGUGAUUCCUGCAGCCAGGAAUGAGCCCAUUGGCCUGAAAGCCUCUGACUUUCUCCCAGCUGUGAAGAACCAAAGCCAGACGGAGCUGGUGGAUGAGGAGGCCAUGUCCCAGAUCAGGAAAGGCCACGAGACCAUGUGUGUGGUGCUCACCAGCCGCCACAAGAACCUGGACGCCGUGCGCGCCGUCUGGAGCACCAGUGACAUCAAGAACUCUCUGGACUCUGCAGUGGCAAUCAAUGAUCUGUCUGUUGUCGUGGAUCUCUUGAAUAUUGUCAACCAAAAAGCGUCUCUCUGGAAGCUGGAUUUGUGUACCAUAGUCCUGCCACAGAUAGAAAAACUACUCCAAAGUAAAUAUGAAAGUUACGUGCAGACUGGCUGCACCUCCCUGAAACUCAUUCUCCAGAGAUUCCUGCCACUCAUCACAGACAUCCUCGCUGCACCACCUUCUGUUGGAGUGGACAUCAGCAGAGAGGAAAGGCUUCACAAAUGCAAGUUGUGCUACAAGCAGCUGAAAAACAUCAGCAACGUUGUCAAGAACAAGUCUGGGCUCAGCGGCCGCCAUGGUAGUGCCUUUCGGGAACUGCUGCUCCUCAUGGCUGUCCUGGACUAGCAGCCACCACCUCUUCAUGUACAAAUACAGGUGGCCAAGCUUCCCCUGCUCAUGGUCUGGCUGGAUUUCAGAUCUCUCCGUGUGUCCGUCCUUUCCCCCUGCCCCUCUCCAGCACGGUAGGGAAGUGCAAUCUGCCUGCCUGGUCGCCCAGCCAGCCCUGGUGCCUUAGGGGCUGGAUGGAGGACCCCAGUGGAGAGAUGUGUGUGCUGUGGGAGGGGCCCUGGCGGGUGCAGGGCCCCACAGAGCCCUGUAGGGAAGCUGCUUCAUUUCAGCUCUUCAUCUCAGCAUCCAGCUGUGGGCUGCUCUGUGUGCUGGCCUGUCCCUGCAGGAGGGCUCUGAGCCUGCUGUCACCCCUCCUUCCUGCUUGUGCUGUCGGUUCUUGCUGCCUGGCCCUGUGGGUCAGGGCCCUGCUCUCGCUGUGCAGCUGCUGAGGACUGCAGGCACCGCCCCACAAACGCCUGCUGUGGGGUGAUGCCUUCUCCAUACAGAAGGGACUUCAACUGCCAGGGGGGACCAGACCCUUUGGCUUCAUCUGACAUGGGCAAGGACACUGUGCCACUGUGCUGGUGCAUCUCAAGGAUCUGAACCAAGAGAUUUUCUCUUGGCUUCUCAGCCAUCCCUGCUGGCACCCAGGGCUGCAGAGGAGCAGUGUCUUCAGACUGUCCUUGGACCUGUUAAAACAUGUGACUUAAACAGGACUCGUCGUAUGUGCUUGCCUUUGGGGGUGAGGAUUUGGAAGGGUGGAGGAACAGAGGGACAUGGACUGAGUUAUGUCUUUCUACAUCCACUGGACCAUUCUUAGAGAAUACGCCGUGGAAGCGCGAGAGGAGAGAGUGGUGGAAAGAGCCAUCAGUGCAUCCAGCAGGGGCUUGCAGCAGGAGGAAAUGUACCCACAGGUGGCUCUUGAGAGGUCCAAGGGCAGUGUCAUCCCCUCCCAUGCUCCUGCCAACCACCAUCCCCAUACAUAAGCCAAGAGGCUUUUGGACUGGAGGUUUGGGGUCUUUUUGUUUGUUUUCCACUACUUUUCCAUUCCAAGACCAUGUAAACAGGUAUAAAUAUUUCAAACACUUUCAUCUCGA